Molecule: long non-coding RNA, 2165 nt
Organism: Ruditapes philippinarum (Manila clam)
Lineage: Eukaryota; Metazoa; Mollusca; Bivalvia; Venerida; Veneridae
Exons: 5
Source: RefSeq, a predicted model, not a curated record
AUUCAACGUACAUGAGGCAGCUAAAAAUAGCUCUAUAUUAAUUUAUGCAAUGUGUUAUUAUCAUGGUUAUGUAAAUUACAAUCCAUGUGAAGUUUUUUUUUGACAAAAUAUUUGUAUACUUUAAUGAAAUAAUUUGUUUCUUUCAUUUUCUUACAGCAAUGAUUGAUAGUGUAGGUGGGCCGGUGAGGGUCAACAAUUUGUUGUCAACACUAAAUAUACCAACAAUUGGAAAUAAAAACAUGAAAAGAAAUGGAGAGACGUGUUGGAAAAUAUCAUUGAGACAGCACUGGCUUCUAUGCCGACAGAAUCUGCUGCAUAAGAUCAAGGAAAUGGAGGAUGUGCAUCAUGAAGAACCAAUGGUAUCAGAACACAACAUCAUGGAAGAUCUUAUUGACAAGAUCUCGGAGGAUGUCCUUUGCCAGAUGUUUGCCAGCACUAAAGUCUAUUCAUCAGUCAAAUGCUACAGUUACAAAUGACAGUGAAUGGUCAGAUUUAUACAAUUGUGAUUAACAAUCCUCAACAAUACAUCAAACAAAAAUGCCUAUUAAACUUUCUCACAGACAGUCAAAGGUUGAAAACAAAUCAGAAGUGGUCCACAUCUUAAAAAACCUCACAGCAGAUUAAGACUUUCCCCGAAAUUUCCCUGUAAAACCCGCAGUGGUAUGUCCAGUGCAGUAGAUACUGCUGGCACAAAAGAGGAUUUGACAGUUUAACAUUGUACUGCACCAAUAAACUAAAUAUGGAGAGAAGCUUAGUCACCAAAGCAGUCAACACCAAAAUACACACAAUGGCCAGGGCACUGAAACUUGGAAGAGUGAAAGAGUAAAGUAGUGCGUUUUUAGCUAACAAAGUGACAUUGCAAGCUUUUGUCUAUCUUUCGUCCGUAAACUUGAUCUUUAAACAACAUCUCAUAAAUUGCCAAGCCAAUUUCAUGCAAACCUACGAUAUUGUCUAGUCAGUUUUUGUUUUGCUUGCAAUCGCUAUAUGACAUGACUAAAGACAUUUAGUUUUAUUCUUAAGUUAUUAUGUUUAUGUUUGUAUAAGACCAAAAUAUAUUGUUAAGAUUCAUUUUUACAAAUUUGAAAGCCACUAUUGUUCUAGUCAGUUUUUGUUUUGCUUGCAAUCAUUAUAUUACAUGGCUAAAGACAAUUAGUUUUAAUCUUUAAUAGUUAUGUCUAUAUUUGUAUAAGACCCAAAAAUAUUGUUAAAAUUCAUUUUUACAAUUUUGAAAGCCAUUAAAGCUCUAGUUUGUUUUUGUUUUGCUUGAAAUUGUUAUAUGACAUGACUAAAGACAUUUAGUUUAAAUCUUUAGUUAUUAUGUCUAUGAGGGGCAUCCGUGGCCGAGUGGUUAAGGUCAUUGACUUCAAACCACUUGCCCCUCACCGCUGUGGGUUGGAAUCCCGACAGGGACUUUGGAAUCUGUCUUGUGAGGAAGCUAUCCAGCUAGCUUAACUGAACGUCAGUGGUUCUACUCAGAUACCCGUUCGUGCCUGAAAUAAUGCAAGGAAGGGCACCUGAACGUCACGAUAUGACCUUUACUGUGUUGAUGUGACGUAAAAACCCAAAACAAGCAAACAAAAAAUUAUGUCUAUGAAAUUCGUUGUUUGUAUAAGACCCAAAUAUAUUGUUGUGAUUAAUUUUAACAAUUUUGAAAGCCAUAAUUGUUCGUGUCAGAUAUUGUUUUGCUCACAAUCAUAAUGUUAUAUGACAUAUGAGUUUAAAUCUGAAGGUAUUAUGUCCAUGAAAAUAUGUUGUUUUGUUUAAGACCAAAAUAUAUUUUUGAGAUUCAUUUUUACAAUUUUGAAAGCCAUUAUUGGUCUAGUCUGUUUUUGCAUAACACAUAACGCUAUUGUUAGUAUUUAUUGUUAUUAAUAGUGAUUUGUCUAAGUGGAUGUCGAAGUAUGUAUGUUAAUCCAUGCCAGUUCAUGUUUGAAUGAAACUUUUUGUCCAGAUAGAAGAUUUCAAACUGUAACUUUUCUGAUUUUUAUCUUUUACAACAAUAUUAUAUUUCCCAUUUAUGGUGCUAAGAAAUACUGCAACAUGUGCUGAAUAAUAGCUAUUGUCAAACAUUGUUUAUAUGCUCCCCGAAAAAUUUCGGCGGACCAUAUAGUCAUUGGGUUGUCUGUCCGUCUGUCUGUACGUACAUACGAACCUGAGUUCGUGUC